GAUGAACGCUGGCGGCGUGCCUAAUACAUGCAAGUCGAGCGAACGGACGAGAAGCUUGCUUCUCUGAUGUUAGCGGCGGACGGGUGAGUAACACGUGGAUAACCUACCUAUAAUACUGGGAUAACUUCGGGAAACCGGAGCUAAUACCGGAUAAUAUUUUGAACCGCAUGGUUCAAAAGUGAAACACGGUUUUGCUGUCACUUAUAGAUGGAUCCGCGCUGCAUUAGCUAGUUGGUAAGGUAACGGCUUACCAAGGCAACGAUGCAUAGCCGACCUGAGAGGGUGAUCGGCCACACUGGAACUGAGACACGGUCCAGACUCCUACGGGAGGCAGCAGUAGGGAAUCUUCCGCAAUGGGCGAAAGCCUGACGGAGCAACGCCGCGUGAGUGAUGAAGGUCUUCGGAUCGUAAAACUCUGUUAUUAGGGAAGAAAAGAUGUGUAAGUAACUGUGCACAUCUUGACGGUACCUAAUCAGAAAGCCACGGCUAACUACGUG
RNAcentral lists this ribosomal RNA (497 nucleotides) under uncultured bacterium. RNAcentral's name for it is "partial 16S ribosomal RNA". It matches the Rfam family "Bacterial small subunit ribosomal RNA", at positions 28 to 507 of the family's 1533-position model. The record is from RNAcentral.